UACGUAGGGGGCAAGCGUUGUCCGGAUUGAUUGGGCGUAAAGAGCGUGUAGGCGGCCAGGUAGGUCCGCUGUGAAAACUCGAGGCUCAACCUCGAGAUGUCGGCGGAAACCAUCUGGCUAGAGUCCGGAAGAGGAGAGUGGAAUUCCUGGUGUAGCGGUGAAAUGCGCAGAUAUCAGGAAGAACACCCGUGGCGAAGGCGGCUCUCUGGGACGGUACUGACGUUGAGACGCGAAAGCGUGGGGAGCGAACAGG
This 253-nucleotide ribosomal RNA is filed under the name uncultured bacterium. RNAcentral's name for it is "partial 16S ribosomal RNA". It matches the Rfam family "Bacterial small subunit ribosomal RNA", at positions 524 to 776 of the family's 1533-position model. The record is from RNAcentral.